AGCUAAGCAAAAUUCAAUCACGAAAAAUAUCGAUAUAUCGGUGUUAUCGGUAUUUUUGUUCCGGUAUCGGUUUUCGUUUUUUUUUCAAAUACCGCAACAGCCUAGUAAAAAUAGAGUCACGAUCUUUCUCAACGGCCAGUUUAGAAUAGUUUAUACCUGUAAAUUCCACAUAUAAAUCAUAAGCAUUCUCUAGUUAUAAUCACUCCGCG
This is a non-coding RNA of Paramuricea clavata, 209 nucleotides long. NCBI's taxonomy places the organism in Eukaryota, Metazoa, Cnidaria, Anthozoa, Malacalcyonacea, Plexauridae. The record is from the annotation of a GenBank genome assembly.